AUCGAGUUGUGAACCACUAUGUGAGUGCCAGGACUGAACCUUGGUCCUCUGGGAGAACAGCAACUGCUUUUAACCACUGAGCCAUCUCUUCAGCCCCAAUUUCCCCUUGAUCUGAAGAAGAAAGAGCCAGGUCUCUAACAGUCGCCAACAGAUCCUGCAAUGAUUUGCAAGGGAAGCGCCGGGAAGAAGAGCGACAAGGCCCACAAUAGCCACAUAAACAUGAGUGUGCCACAACCUAGCUUUUCUGAACACUGCCAGGUUCCCAGAGUGCUGGAAAAAUCUCUUUUCAUUAGGCUCAACUAGGCAGUUUCUCUCUUCAAAUACCUCCCUCUUUGAUUCCAAGUUCUACAGACACAUCCAAUUCUUUUUUUGCUGUGGGUGACUCUCCUUACCACCCCCACUUCAUUAGCAUCUGCUUCCUGUUAAGAACUGACCAGAGCUCCCUUUAUGGCAAAUGGAAACUAUCAUAGGAAGCUACAACUGGACACAAUGCAGAGAUCAAUAGAUUGUGCCUUGCAUCUGUGGCUUGGGGAACAUCACGUAAGAGGGGGCGGAAAGAUUCUUAGAGCCAGAAAACCAACAAGCCUGAUGAAAAACAAUCUCUCCUAGAAAUGGCUGCACACAAGGCCAGAACAACGGUUAUACUAAUAGACAUGCUUAUGUGGAAGGGGGAAAGUUUCACAGGAUUCCACCCUAAGACAAAGGAUUAUUAUAGAUAACUAUAAUAAUUGCUGAGAGAGGGAGAAUUAGCCUCCCCCAGGGGGUCUCCCUUAUUCAUCAUCUAGUAGAAAAUGGUUAUCCCUGAAACUGUAUACUUUUAAAUAAUAAAAUUGGACUCAGC
Molecule: long non-coding RNA, 841 nt
Filed under: Rattus norvegicus (Norway rat)
Lineage: Eukaryota; Metazoa; Chordata; Mammalia; Rodentia; Muridae
Description: long non-coding RNA NONRATT020454
Source: RNAcentral